AUGUCAGACGAAGAAGUAAUGGAGUCUGGUACUGCAUUCAGCCAACGUUUUGCAGCAAAACGCUUGCGCGGAGUUGCGAAGACAAAACUCAAUCCCACCAAGAGGCACUACAUUAAUGAAACUGGCUUUGGUGAUCUGAUGACCAUUUCACAUUUCAAAGCGCCACCUGAUCUGAUGGAGUGGUUAACUAUGAACAUUGACACUGAAAAGCGUGAGCUCAGGCUGAGUCGGACUAAGGUGAUUGUGUUUACUAGAGACAUGGUGAAGAAGGUUUUCAAUAUCCCAUCAGGCAACAGACCAGUUGAGCUUUUCAAGAGACACGAGCAGUGUGAGCUACGCAACAUUUAUCAUAAGAAUGGCAGGGCUCCAAUUGCGCAUACAGUGACUGUGCUUCACCGAGCAAGGAAUGAUGAUGGCGAUACUACGAAGAGAUCAUGGGUGCUCUUGGCGCUUGCAACCGUUUUAACUCCAAGCACUGGAAACAUGGUGCCUCUAGAGUACUUGAAAAGCCUUGUAGAAAUGGACAAGGUUGCUGAAUUCGCUUGGGAUGAGCAUGUUUUAAGUGUUGCAAUGAGAGAGGUCAAGAAGUGUCAGGACAAGAUAAAAUCACAAGCUACUUCUUCAUUCUGGGUUGGGGGCUGUUUCCCUAUGCUUGCAGUUAUUUACAUGGACCAUUUGAUAUUUCCCCAAGCUGCCAUCAAUGAGCACCAGCUGAAUUAUUCUCUUCCAAGGGCUUGCUUCGUACAUCAAACGGACUUUGAUCUUGUAUUGGAAUUUGACAAGAACAAGCUAUCUUUGGGCAAAGCUUCAUUCGGGAAGUGUCGUUUUCGCCCUCUAUCGGAGACACCGUACAUAGCAUUGCCUGCCGAAGGCCCGGUAGGCAACAUGACUAAAGUUGAUCAAGAUCAGCAGGUUCCGGACAGCCCGGAUUGUGUUGAUACUGAAGAUUGUGGGGCUGAAAAUGUCAACAUUAAUGACAACCAAGCUGAUGUGGCUGAGGAAGAGAAUCCUACGGAAGGUGGUAGCAAUCCAACGGAACAUGGCAAAAGUAGAGACGAAGAUGUGUGUGGUUCACUGGAUGAUUGGCUUCAGAACCCAGCACCAUUCGGUGCAGAGCUUGAGCUACCAUCACAUCUGGCUGCAAUCUACGACAAGCACACAAAACUAUAUUCUUUAGAGUUAAAAGGGGCUCUAAGCUCUUUUGGGCAAGUGUUGCAAGCAAUACAUUGCAAGAGAAUGGGGCAGCUCCUCAAAGAUGUGGACGCUGCUUCAUCAAGUUAUCAGGGAGCAACGGAUGUUAGUUUUGAUGUGCCACCCCCUCGCAGCAAUGAUGUAGACAAGUCAGAUCGUCAUGGUUGUGUCAAGGAAAGCUAUAGCAAGAAAGCCGCAGAUGAGCCAACAACAGACAAGGUGGUUGAGCCGGGUGAAGGAGCUCGAAGCAACCAUGCAAGCGGCAUUGAUCAUGAGUCUAAUGGCGGCAAUGUGGUUGAGAUGGGCACACGAACUAGUGGUGAAGAUAUUGAGCAUGGUGACCAACUCAUCGAGCGCAAUGACUCUGUUGUCAGUGAGCCCCCUGCACAGUCUUUUGAGAAUGCAAGGGAGAAAGUGUCUAGUGGUGAAGAUAUUGAGCAUGGUGACCAAUUCAUCGAGCGCAAUGACUCUGUGCACACUAGCGUGACUGGACAUUGGAGUGAUGCGCCAUCAAUGUGCCUGUUCCAAGAGGGCACCGAGGAGUACGAUUGGUGGAUUAGUGUCCAAAGUCAAGAUCCGAACUCCAAUGCUCCAACUCAUGGCAACACUGCUACAACACCAAAGUCUUGUGGUGUUUUUGAUGUCACUCCUCAGGCUGCAAUAUCAAGAGAAGUAGAAGCUCCUGUGUAUGAUGUCACACCAAUCUCCAUGGCUCCAUUAUCAAGUGGGGCUGCAGAUGGACCAUCAAAGCCACAAGAAGAGACAGUUGUUCUAGUUAGCAGCAGGGAACCAAGCCCCAACCUUGACGAGGAGAAGUUGAAGAGCAAGGAUGAGAACAAACUCAAGAGUAAGAAAAGAGUAGGGAGUCCACUGUCAGCCGGAUCGAAGUACAAGAAAAUAAAGACAGAUUCGAACACGGAAGCAAUGUACCAGCACUAUGUCAUGAAGAGGUACAAGAUGAAGAAGAUGAAGAGAGGGGAAGUUGAGCCUCCUUUCAUUAGGAUUGAUGAUUUCCACAUUACGUACACGAACUUCCAGAAGUCGUUGAAGCCACGUGCUCAUAUUUGUAGUGAAGUCAUGUCAUUAUUCAUUGAAAGCUUCAACAUUGAACAAUUGUCGUCUUCAAAUAUGCAGAAGAAAUUUGCUUUCUCUGUUUUAAUGAGUCUUCAACUCUCUGUCCACCCAGAAGUAUUUGAUCCAAGUGUUUGUGCAAAAGAGCUGAGGAGGGCAUGCCAAAAUUUUCAGAUUUCUGUUUUUGACCUACUUUACUUCACCAUCGUCUACGAUGGCCACUGGAUUGUUUGUGUCAUUAACCUAUUGCACAAGGAGUUUAACUUGUUUGACUCAUGGGAUAAUGGAAAGUUGGAUAUUGCUGCAAGGAAUCUGUUUACCAAUUUCAAGAGGAUUGCUUCAGAAGAGCCAGCUUUCACAGUGGACCUAUCUUCUUUCAAAUCCGACUGGCCGCUGCUUGACUACCCACAAUAG
This 2676-nucleotide ribosomal RNA is filed under the name Triticum aestivum (bread wheat). Its description in RNAcentral is "partial small subunit ribosomal RNA". Lineage: Eukaryota; Viridiplantae; Streptophyta; Magnoliopsida; Poales; Poaceae. The record is from RNAcentral.